Molecule: long non-coding RNA, 42630 nt
Filed under: Setaria italica (foxtail millet)
Lineage: Eukaryota; Viridiplantae; Streptophyta; Magnoliopsida; Poales; Poaceae
Description: long non-coding RNA (SITA_LNC003434)
Source: RNAcentral
GAGGUUUAUCGUUUUGGAUGAAAGGAAGAGGAGAUGCGCUUGUCUGAUCGGCGGUUCAAUCUAUGUUGCUACUAAACCUUUUGCGAGACUUUUUUUUCCUUUCAAUUUUGCUGUUUUUUAUUCGCGAUUAAAGUUUAUUUAGAAUUUAGCAGUCAAAGCUAAGGACAGGGUGAGGUUUGUAUGAGCGUUACGAUGUGCAGGCUGAUCAAGACCAGCGCGAAAUUUGAUUGUGAUUUGUGUGUGGAUAGAUAGACCCAAGGAGGAGAGGAUUUCGAUUUGAAUUGCCGUCCGUACAGAGUGUUAAAAAAGAUUAACGUUCGUACACAAUCGGGGCCUGGAAUCCUGGAUCACAUGUUUUUUUUUUCCUUUUUACAUGAAUGAAUCACGUGAAUUUGGUUGGUAGCAGUUUAGCUCCUGUAAAAGCCAGCAAAAAAUCCCCCUGUUCAGAUGAGGGGCCUUGAUUCUCAGUCUCAGUUUGAGCUCAAGCUGUUGGGGUCCAAAAUCCAAAUUAGCUGCCACAAAAGACUGCAUGGCUCUGGUUUCCUGGGGGCUGCAGAUGGGGCGAUAUUUAGGCAGUAGGUAUUGGUAGGGUGCUCUCAUCCUCAGCUUUCACAAAAAUGGUUAUUGUGAGGAGCCCAAAGUAAGAAAUAAGUGCAAGAUCUAGCCUCGUUUAGCUUGUGGUGGCCCUUCCUAUCCAUGGACCAUGGUCCUGUCACUUUCAUUUGCCCAAGAGUGGGCAGUAGGCACUUGUAUUUGGUAACUGGGGAUGGGUAUAAUUUGUAUAACAGAUCAUAGGAAAGUGAUACUAAGCCGAAUAAUAUGAUUACAAUUGAUCCAACAUCCAAGUAUUGUUAAUCCUUCAUCUAUCUUGUUGAACUACACAUACAAGGUUUAAUUUUCUUAUUUUGUUUAGAAAUGAUGACACUGCACGCAGAAAAUGUUCUAUCAUGUUAUUAGAUGUAAAAUUCCAGCUGCAGUUUUAUUUGAUUUGAAGAUCUCUUCUGUUAAAGAGUUUCUUACUAUGAUCUUGUAGGGUCAACACAAUGAAAAAGAAGAUACAGAAGAUAGUGAAAUGGAGGUUGACACGCCACAAGAGAAGGGUAGUGAAAUGAAGGUUGACACGCCACUAGAGAAGGGUAAUGAAAUGAAGGUUGACACGCCACUAGAGAAGGGUAAUGAAAUGAAGAUUGACACGCCACAAGAGGAGAAGGGUAAUGAAAUGAAGUUUGAUGCAUCAAAAAAGGAACAGGAUGGUGAAAUGAAGGUUGAUGCACAACAAGAGAAAAAAGAUGAGCAAAUGAAAGUUGAUGCACCACCAAGGGCAGAAAAUAUACAACCAGGCACUUCACCUAGAUCAGAUCAUAAGAAAGAAGAUCAGGGCCAGAUGAACAGUACUGAAGAUAAAGCGGCAUCAGACCCAAAGGGGGAGAGUGAGAAGGCAAAUGACGAAUCAGGUCAGGACAAGACACUUAAGAAGCCAGAUAAGAUUCUACCUUGUCCUCGGUGCAACAGCAUGGAUACAAAGUUCUGCUAUUACAACAACUACAAUGUUAACCAACCUAGGCACUUCUGUAAGAAUUGUCAGCGGUACUGGACUGCAGGGGGCACUAUGAGGAAUGUACCUGUUGGUGCUGGGCGGCGCAAAAGUAAGAAUGCACCAUUGCACUACCGCCAAUUACUGAUGGCCCCUGAUUGUAUGCUGGGCUCUAGAGUGGAUAUAUCAAAGUCAGUGCUCCCUGAAGCUCUUGUGUCUCCACCUUCUGCCCCGGUACAGCCAACCAGUCGAAAUGAAACAGUUCUCAAAUUUGGGCCUGAGGUGCCACUUUGUGAAUCACUGGUGUCAGCACUGAACAUUGAUGAGCAGAAUGCAAAGAACCCUGGAUCAGCGCCAAGAGGUGAAAAUAGGGAAGACAACUCUUGUGCAUCAGCUGUCACAUCAUACAAUGGACUGCCUGAAAACACAGUUCAUGUCGAUAAGAAUGGAGCACCCGUUUAUUGCAAUGGAGUUGCCCCAGUUCCACAGUAUUACCUUGGAACCCCUUUCAUGUACCCUUGGAGUGUAGGAUGGAACAAUCUCCCUGUGAUGGUGCCAGGUAAAAGUAUGCCUGAAGCUGCUUCUGCUUCAGAGAGCUGCAGUACUAGUUCAGCUCCAUGGAUGACCUCUCCCAUGAUGCCGGCCUCAACCUCACCAGCAUUUCCGUACCCUCUUGUGCCACCUGCGCUUUGGGGUUGUUUGUCUGGAUGGCCAGCCACGACAUGGAACAUACCGUGGGUCAGAACUAAUGGUUGCGUGUCCCCAUCCUCCUCAAGCAACAGCAGCUGCUCAGGCAAUGGAUCUCCUACUCUGGGUAAGCAUUCCAGGGACUCUAAUCCGUUGAAAGAUGAGAAGCAAGAGAAAUCAUUGUGGGUUCCAAAGACACUCCGGAUCGAUGAUCCUGAUGAGGCUGCAAAGAGUUCCAUAUGGGCCACCCUUGGCAUCAAACCUGGAGAUCCUGGCACCUUUAAGCCUUUCCAGUCCAAGGUCGAGAGCAAGGGCCAGAAAGCGGACGCUGCUCAGGUUUUGCAGGCGAACCCAGCAGCACUAUCGCGCUCGCAAUCGUUCCAGGAGAGUUCUUGACUCCAUGCCUUCAGUCUAUCUUAUAGUUUUGGUACUGUAUAAUCUUUGUAUAUUAGAAGAGUUUUGCGGUAUGUGAAAAGAUCAGCAGAGAGCUUCUUGUAUAGCCACUAACUUGGUGGAACUUGCAAAGAGCUUUCACGAGAACCCUUUUCGAGACAUAUAUAUGUAUUGUAAAUACUUGACAAACUGGUGGUGUAUAUUUAGUUUCAAGUCGGGACUCGGGAAGACUUACCUGGCUUGGCUCUCUUAGUAUAUUGGUAUAAGUUGUAAACGGUUAACAGUGUAACUGAUAAUAUUCCAGUGAGUGCCAGAACAAAUAUUCUCAAAUAAAUCAUUUCAAAUGCCAAUUGCAUCUUACAGUUUCACUGUACUCGCAAAGUAAAUUUGGACAUGUUCAAUUUUUAUGUCUAUGAACAAAUGACAUGCUCAUGAAAGGACAUCAGGUUAACACGAUUUAGUUAGUUUCUUAGCACAGCUCAAUCAAUUAUGAUAGCAGUGCAAGCAUACGCCAUUUUAAAUUAAAAUCGAUACUAACGGUUCUGCACUGAUGCAAAUAGGACGUCAAAUAGCCAAAGGUACACAAGAAAGCUCAACAUAACUAUCCAGGUUCUGCAACACCUGUUUCCACAAGAUACAAAAAUGGUAAGACUACCCGCAGGGUAGAAAUAAAAUCCUUCUUUCUGUUCUCAACGGUACUAUGUUACAUGUCUGAAAAAACACUGUUCCACGCGAUUGUUGUACAUGUACUUUGUCAGGUGACGACAUUAGAAACAAUCUAUGCUACCUCAAAGAGUCUCGAGUGUUCGUUAGAAUCUAGCCAUCGUAGGAAGAACAUCCAAUGUGAUAGGCCUCCUGAAGAUCUGGUCCAACAUUUGAAGUCUGGUGAUAGGGGCGGUGGACUGGUGGCAAAAGCAAAGCCAAUGAUUUGUCCAUCAUCAGAAGCCGUCGGCAUUUGCUGCAUACAUAGUAAUCCAAGCAUUACUUAUGUGCACAUCAGAAACACAGAAAAUGCCAUAAGCAUGGGAGUUAGAUCUCAAGGAGUAUUACCUGCAAACCUUUGUAAACAGAGUCUGAUAGCUGGCAAUCCAACGCUGCAAGGCAAUGAAUGUUUUUAGUAACAGACAAUGUCCAAAAUGACGAACAACAGUGUCAGAACUAGGAAUGGCGUCCAUCAAGCUUUUGGAAAUGCUUCUUCUCAAAUAAAAUGUCAAUUUAGUGGAUUACUAAUAUGAAGGGAUCAGAAAUUAUUGUAACUUACCAAAAGCAGAGAUAGUGCUUUACUGGGCUCCACACUGAUAAAGUACUGCAAUGCCUUGUCAGCAUGCUCCUUCAUAAUCAUAAUAUUCUAUUAGUCUCACCCAUCUUUCGCUUCUAGUGCCUCAUAUGAGAACAAAAUCAUACAAAGACACAAGAGUAUGCACUUACCUUUACAUGCUUAAAUACAUGAUGCAUUGACACGCCUCUUGCAUGAAGGUAGCUUCCUCCCUGGUGGAAUAUUAAGAAUGAUGUGUCAAAAAGGAUAUCUUGAUCACCAAUUUUAUCAGCAAUCAGCAAAGUGACUGAAGUUUCCCAUAAAAAGUAUUAUGGAAACAUACUAAAAGCCUAAAACAAUGAAGUGAUCUUGGUACAUACACAACUUAUAAUCAGACAUAUACUGUGAAACACAAGUGCAUGCCUGCGUAGUUUCUCAUGCAAAGCUCACAACUGAGCUGGACAGAGGAAGCUUUUGGAAGACAUUAUUACCUCGGUGGGGGAGAAGAACGCCACUGCAUCAGGAUCAGUAGAUCCAGCAGGGUGUAACGACACUAUAGCCCGAAAUAUUGAAGGAACCAGCAACUCAAUUACUGCAACCUGGUCCAUGGAAGUUGUCAGAGCACUGGAUCUCAAAUUGCCCGUAUUUUGCAAGUUCAACUCCUUAGAUGGAUCUACAAAGUCAUCAUCCAUCAGAGAUGCUAACGAUGAAGCUCUUUUUGACCAAUCCAGAUGCCGGUAUGUGAAUAUUUUCAUGUUAGGCACUUCAUUUUCUAGAUUUUUCAGUAUUUCAGAUAAAGAUUCUUCCUCCUGCUCUCCAUUGCUGGCAGAUAAUCUUGGCUUUUUGGUGACACCAGGUUCGCCAUCAUGGAGAUGGCUAAGGACUUCAUCUUCUAGAUGAGGAAAAAAUCUUCUUUUCUGGUCAGUGAAGGCCUUUAGAGCUAACCUGAAAACAGCAUGGGGUAAGCUCAACAUCGUCAACAACCUGAAUGAUCAUAAAUGAAUAAUGCGAAACAAGACAUUCAUUUCCCUAGUUUUCUGCCAAGUCUAUAAAGUAGCAGGAGAUGAUUGGGUGCCACACAUAAUCACCACGAAUACCACCCAAGUCAUCACAACAAACAGGGAUGCUUGGAGGCCAUGAUUACGACCGGAGCACCACCUAAUUAGGACACUACGACAAGACCCUCCAAAAAUAAAGAAUCGUAAACUGGACCUAUUCCUUAUCCCAAAAUGGAAUAAAAAAACACCAUGGAACAAUUUCUAGAUAUCUACUAAAAGUAGAAAAGAACACUUUUGUGUCAAACUCCUUGGCCUCUUUCUAUAAAGACUGGUGGAUGAUUGCAAGCACCAUGUAUGGUACUGAUAUCUAAUAAACAUGCUUAUGAACAUAAAACUGUGACGUUCCAAUGCCAUUCUAAGUUAAAAAAAAACAUAUGGAUGAAUUGGAAAAAGAACAUUCUGCUCAGCACACUAAGUAGCAAUAAUCCUAGCACUGAAAAGAAAAAACCAGUUGUAGAUGAACGGGGUAGAUGGUUUUUUGCAAACUGAAGGGAAAGUUCAAAAUUAGAUAGAGAAAGCAAGGUUCAAAAUUAAAAUACAGAUGAAAAAACGAUGAAUACAUUGGCCAUAGAUUAACUCGUAAAAUUCACUCAUGAGAGCACCUAUGCUAUUUGCAAGUCAUGGAUAUUCAGAAUUGAACUCCACUGCACAAAAUUCAGCUGUCACAAAGAACCAUAUUACAGUGGAAUAAACGUUAUAAACUGCAUUCUGUUAGUGUGAAAAUGUCAGACGGCAACAUUAAAUUAAUAGGGGGAAGAAGCACACCAUGCUGAAGUAGUAGCUAAAGAAUACAACAAAAGAUACCAAGUAAAGAAGCAUACCUAGUUCUGUCCACAGCAGAUGCACCAGCCUGACCUGCCAGUUGACGCUUCCAAGCAUAAGCUACAACAGCACCAUCUGGGCAAACAAGUGGCAUGUGCAAGCCCCAUGAAUUUCCUCGAGCUUUAAGGGCCCCAUUAAGAACUCCAGAUUCCUCUAAUUGCCUUCCUAACAUUAAAAGAAGGAAUUAUUCACAGACAAAAAAGAAUCGCUAAAAGGUAAUGCAAGAUAUUUGGUAGUCUACACUUAAACAACUUGAGCAAGUUCGACAAUUCAAAUGACUAGCCAGAUUAAUGAUGAAGAAACAGUUAAAUUCUAUAUGAAAGUUUCAAAAAGGAAAAUUAAUUUCUUAGUACAAACGCAUAGAACCUACAAACAGUGCAACGCCUACAAUGUCCAACUAAAAGUGAAAGCAUGAUAAACACAACAAAACUACAACUUAUCCAUGGACCAAAAGGUGAAAGAUGAUGCCCUUCAGCAUCUUAAGUCAGUUUACUAGGAGAAUAAUUGCAAAAAGAAAGUAACUGAAGCACAUGCCCUUGCCCAUGCAUUUCAAAUCUUGUGGUCAACUAAAUUCAAUAUGGUUGCAGAUACCUUUAUGAACUCCAAGUAUCCUGGGUCACAAUAAAGAUGGUGUAUUGGCCAUAACUUAGUAACCCCUGGUUUAUCUAGAUCGCUGGAUUCCUAUCUUAAUGAAAUGACAUGCAGCUUUCCUGCGUUGUUCGAGAAAAAAAUCUAGAUCGCUGGACGAUGUUUGAUCUUUUUCUUUGUUUUUGUUUUUUUCCUGGCUUUUGAUUUUGUAGGGACCAUCCUUUAUUACUUCUUAAUACAUGGACGAGCAGCUCUCCUGCCCGUUUGAGAAAAAAAGUCCAGGUUUUUCAAAAAAACACUCUUAUGACUAGAUUGCCUGUAUAUUUCAUUUGCCUUUUAUCUAAUGACUUCACAGUUUUGUUGACAUGUAACGUGUUCCAGAAAUGCAAAAUAAUCCCAACCAAAUAGAGUAAGGCCACUCAUCUUGGAAAAAUAUAUUUUGCAAAAGGUGCUCUUCCCAACAAGUCCAAACUACAGGCAGACAGUCAACAGGAACAUUAAAAGAUUUUUCAUAAAAAAUAACUAAGCUAAAGAUGUCUAAGAAAUAACCUUCAGAAAACAAAGCAAGCUCCAAAACUAAGAACAACGAACAGAGCAGAUCCAGGUUCCAACAUAACAGUAGUACUAAAGUCAACAUAACUAAACAAACCUAAAUAAAAUAUUAAGUGUGCAUAGCUAAUGAGCUACUGGCCCGAUACCUAAAAACUAUAAUUUCCUACCAAAUCAGCAGAAAGCAGUUCCGGAUCACAGCUAUCAAUUUCCUAAACAUCAGAUGGACAAUAUCAACGGUGCUAUUUUGAAUCUCUCAUCAGCAGCAGACGGGUCAGAGUUGUUUUGGGUUAAAUUUGAUAUUUGAUGCUUCAGAAUGCCUCAAUCAGUAAAACAACCAAGUUCCGUGUAGAAAGUUAGAAACCCAGGUAAACUAUCCAUAACCUCCCGGAUCGAGAGGGAAGGAAGAAGGGAGGUAUUAGGGCGGGCGGUGAUGCUGGGGCAUGGUACCUGCCGAGGGCGCGGAGGUCCUGGAAGUGGCGGCGCAUGGUGGCCUCCUCCUGGACGACAGCGCGCGCCGUCCUGUCGAUGUGCUGGGGCGCGCUGUACGGGGGCGCGCCGCCGGCGACGAAGAGGGCCUCGAGGAGGCGGUCCGCGCCGAGCCGGAUGUCCGCGAUGAGCCGGCCCGCCCGGCCCAGCCGCUCCAUCGCUUGAGCCACCUGCUUCGGCGGCGCGUCCCCGCCCGCCGGAUCGUUCGGGUGGGUCACCGUCGGCGCCACCGCCGACGCCGACGGCGCGACCGCGAGCGCCGCCGCCUGCGCUUGAGGAUGCUGCUGCAUCAUGAUUCUUCCUUCUUGGGGCGCCGAGUCAGUCCUCACUCGCUUGGGGGUGUUGCGACAUUUUACUCGCGAUGCCAAGCCCAUUAGGCUAGGAGGCCGUCAUAGGCCCAUGGUCUGGUUCCAAUUUGUUGCGCACUUUGAGUUUGAUUGAUUGGUUUGUUGCCAAGAUUUUGGCAUGCAAAAGUUUUGGCAAAUUAAAAGUUAGGCAAAAAAAUUAUCAAUAUUUUGGUAAGAUAAAUAAGAUACGUUGCCAAAUUUUAGUAACAAACUAAACAAUAGAAAAAAAUUGGUAUAAUUACAUGGUUCUACUGACAAACUAAACAAUAGAAUUUUACACCCUUAUGAUUCAAUCAAAUCAAAUAAAAAAUAUAGAAUAAAUUUUUUCUCAAAAAUAAAAGUAUAGAAUAAAUAAAAUAUGGUAUAAUUACAUGGUUCUACUGACAAGUGGGGUCCGAUUACUUAUGGAUUUUUGACAAAUAUAGUUCUACAAUGUUAUUAAAAUGCAUUCCUUUUUUCAUUCAAAGUGUUAUCGAAACAAUUUGUUUGAAGUACUUGAGGAAUAAUUUUGUGAGCGAGUUGACUUAGCAUCCACCAUUUAUAUUUGGUGGUAAAAUAAUAUCAAAUCUCACUUUUUUGCGGAGAAAUUAACUCCCAGUCAUGUAAUUCAGUUUCUUGUUUCUUUUGCGAGAAGAAAAAUGCAAUUUCGUGUUCCAGCUACUGAAAAAAAGAUACAGCAGUGAAGUGUGUUGUGCUACAUUAUUACACGAUGAUCAAAGUAACAACGGUACCCACAAAAGAGGUGCUCCUCCCGACCACUGCAUGAAUUCAUGAAUUUUCAAAUGAACCCCCGCAAAAUUGAAUUCUACAGUAUUCAUCAGCAUUUCAGCACACUCACUGGCCACUGACCGCAGCUUCCCACAAAAGAGCUGCUCCUCCCGACCUCUCGGUCCCUGGCGUUUCGAACGUUCCAAUCCCCCGCCCGGCCGGCCAUGCCCCUCCCCGGCGGCAACGGCGAGCCCCCUCCCCUUCCCUCUUCUCAUCCACCGCCGCUCCCCUCGCUCAUCAAGCUUGGUCGCGCCAUCACCGCUCGCCACGUCGACCGCCUCCUGGCCGUGCUCCUCCGUCGCCGGAGGCACCGCCUCCUCGCCGCGCUGGCCUCCCAGGCGCUCGCCAACGCCGUCGCCCCCACCCCGCGCACGCACCUCCUCGCCGCCUCCGCGCUUCUCGACUCCGAGCGCCCGCACGAAGCGGCCCAGCGCCUCGCUCUCGCCUCAUGCAUUGCUAGCCGUGGCCGCCGCCUCUGGGACGCGCUGCUCCGACGGGCCUGCGCGGGGCGAGGAGACCCGCGCCACGCGCUGGAGCUGCUCUCCGCUGCCGUCGAGGACCAAGGCGCGGUGCUGUCCCCGUCCACGUACCGCGUGAUGGUGGUGGGGCUGUGUGCCCGCGGAGAGGUGGACGGCGCGCUCAGGGUGUUUGACGUAAUGACCAGGAGGGGGUGUCAGGUGGACGAUCGCAUUUGCAGCUCUAUCGUUUCUGGGUUCUCCAGAAUUGGGAAGGCUGGAGCAGGGCUGGAUUUCUACAAGAGAGUGAGGCGUGAUUUCAGUGGCUUUGAGCCGGGCCUGGUGACAUUGACGUCAGUCGUUCAUUCUCUUGGGUUGGAGGGGAGCAUCGGUGAGAUGGCAGAGCUAAUGCGAGAGAUGGAGUGUAAGGGCAUGGACGCUGAUGCUGUGUUUUAUGGCAGCAUGGUUCAUGGAUACAUGAGUUGUGGGUUCUUGAUGGAGGGUCUACGGGGGCAUCAAUCCAUGUUAGAUAAGGGAAUCACAGCCGAUGUAGUUAACUACACUACUGUUAUUGAUGGACUGUGCAGAGAAGGUUGUGUGGAGAAAGUAAUGGGCUUCUUGGAUGCAAUGGAGCGACGUGAUGCUAAGCCAAAUUUGAUUACUUAUACAUCACUGGUCGGUGGCUUCUGUAAGAGAGGCAGGUUAGAAGAUGCCUUCUCUAUUGUGAGGAAACUGGAACGAACUGGCGUGGUGGUGGACGAAUAUGUAUAUUCAAUUUUGAUAGACAGCUUGUGCAAGAUGGGAGAUUUACCUAGGGCUUUCUCUUUGCUCACAGAGAUGGAAAAUAAGGGAAUCAAGGCUGGCAUUGUAACGUAUAACGCAAUUAUAAAUGGUUUGUGUAAAGCUGGUGACACUGAAAAGGCUGUUGAAAUCUCUGAAGGUGUUGCUGCUGAUAACUUCACAUAUAGUACACUGUUACUUGGUUACAUUAGCAGAGAUGAUGUUACCGGUGUUAUGACGAUAAAGGGCAGGCUUGAGAAUAGUGGUAUCUCUAUGGAUGUUGUCACAUGCAAUGUUCUCAUCAAAGCAUUAUUUAUGGUUAACAAGGUGGAUGAUGCCUGGAGUUUGUUUCACAAAAUGCCUGAGAUGGGCUUAAGGCCUAAUACUAUCACCUACAAUACAAUGAUACAUGCUUUGUGUAAAGUUGACAAAAUUGACAAGGCACUGGAGCUGUUUGAAGAAUAUAAGAAAGAUUCAUCAUUCUCCAGUUCAGUGGUUCAUGACUGCCUGAUUAAAGCACUGUGUAAUCAAGGGAAAGUUGAAAUGGCUGGCCAAAUAUUUUAUGAUCUUGCUCAGAAAAAAUUAAGUCCCAGUUUCUGUAACUGCAAGAAGUUGAUUCAUGCAAACUUCAAAGAACUCGGCGAACACGGUGUGCUGGAUUUCAUUUGUAAGGUUGGCGAAUUAGAUGUUGACUUAUUUUCAUCUGUUUGCAAUUAUGCUUCUACUUUCUUAAGCAACAGGAAUUGUUGUCAAGCAGCAAUGGAUGCUUACAAGUUACUCAGAAUGCAAGCCAUUUCUGUAACUAGUAAAACAUGCUACAGGCUGCUCCAGAGCUUACAUCGAAAUGGAAGUGAAGAGGUCAUACAACCAUUGUUAUGUGAGUUCAUUAAAAUUCAUGGUAUGUGUGAACCUAGAAUGAUCAAUAUGCUGUCUUGUCAUCUCAGCAAGAAAAGUGUUAGUGAAGCUAUUUGGUUUUCUAAUUACAUGGACACUGUUAAUGUUCCUAUCAGUGUUCUGAGAGGAGCUGUCUAUACUCUAAAGAAGCAAGGUGAAGUUCUGGAUGCGUGUACAUUUUUGAAGGAAGCUAAACAAAGUGGGUUUUCAGUAGAUCUAGCCAUGUAUUCCAUAGUAGUAGAUGGCCUUUGUAAGGGUGGAUAUCUCGAAAAAGCACUAGACCUUUGUGAAAGCAUGAAAAAAGAGGGGCUUCAUCCAAACAUUGUCAUCCAUAACUCAGUUCUCAAUGGUUUGUGCCAGCAAGGAUGUUUUACUGAAGCAUUCAGGCUCUUUGACUACUUAGAAAACAGCAAGAUGCUUCCAACAAUGAUCACUUAUGCCAUCCUUAUCGGUGCUUUGUGCAGAGAAGGUUUGUUGGAUGAUGCAGACCAAUUGUUUGAUAAAAUGUCCACCAAGGGUAUCAGACCCACGACCCGUGUUUACAACUUGCUGAUAAGUGGUUAUUGUAACUUUGGAUUAACUGAAAAGGCACUUGAGCUUAUGUCUCACUUGGAGGAACUCUUUCUACUCCCAGAUUCUUUUACACUAGGUGCAAUUAUUAGUGGACUUUGCCUGAAAGGUGAUACUGAAGCUGCAUUAUGCUUCUUUAAUGAAUACCGUUAUAAGGACAUUGAACCUGAUUUUGUUGGUUUUAUGAGCCUUGUCAAAGGACUCUAUGCAAAAGGAAGGAUGGAAGAAUCCAGGGGCAUCUUGAGGGAAAUGUUUCAGUGCAAAGAAGUCGUGGAGUUAAUAAACAGUGUUGGAGAUAAGAUUCAAGCGGAGUCUCUUGUUGAUCUCCUAUCUUCUGCAUGUGAUCAAGGGAGGAUAGAUGAGAUUCUUACUAUCCUAAAUGAAGUGGGACACAUGCUUUUAUCCUCUUCAGAUUCUAGCAGCUACAAUGCGCUUGCGCACCUCAAGAAGCUACAAAAAGCUGACGAUGCUUAUGAUUCCAUUUCAGAUUCAGGACAAGUAAGUCUCGUAGCUUAUGAUGUUUCUAGGAAUAGUUGUCAUGAGAACUCUGAGGCGAUAGAUGGAGACGAUAGUUUAUCAAAAGCAAGUAAUGAUACUGAUAUUGACUACCGAAAUUUGCUUGGGAAGUCUUUCAGUGAUGAUUUCGACUCAUAUUAUACUGCUAUUGCUUCGCUUUGCUCGAAAGGGGAGGUUCUUAAGGCCGACAAGGCAGUUGAAGUGAUGAUUCAGAAUUCUGGUUAAAUUUGGCCAACUUGUUAAGGAAAAUUUUCUGCCCACAGUAUCUUCAUCUGCAACACAUGUAAACUUGUAAGUACAGCAUGCUUUUUAGAUAUAGGAUGCUUAGUGAUGCAACUUGGGGGUUCACCAAAGUUGGAAUUAACCUUUUUUGCAUAUUAGUCUAUCUUGUCUAGCAAAACAUCACUGUGCUUUGAGUUCAUAGCACAAACUCGUGCACCUUUGUUAUAACUGUUUGUCAAUUUUUUUAUGCCAGAAACAGACACCAAAUUGAAACAGAACUCUGACUUUGCACAGGUUCCAUCGGUUGAGAGAGUAUGCUGGUUGACCCAUGGUACCCCAUCCAUGUGCUUGUGAACAUAUAUGAUUGUUCAAUAUGGUUCAAGAUUCGGAAGAUCCUUGAGGCUGAGGAUAUAUCUUGUUGGAUUCAACCAGUUUGCUACCCUCAGUUUGAUCUCUUUUGUCUUUUAGGUAUGUUUUCUUCUCGAUGAAUUAGCACUGAUUUCCUUUUGUUUUCAAUUCUCCCUGCAUGGACUGAGCAUAUAGGGCUCUGAUAAAAAAUGUUGAACAUAGGAAAAGGGAAAAGAGAAAGCCCAUACAGCAGUAGGAUCUGCAGGUAAUACCUUCUCUGACUCGUAUGCUUUAUUACCCUUUUCCCUACUUUACCUUUGCGUAUGAAAUAGCAUAUAUUUAUACAGCUUGGUCAAGCCAUUAGUUUAAAUGCUUGCAUGGGAGCUCUAAAGAUUUCUUUUAGGCACAACAACUUGACUGCAUGUUCUGCGUGAAUGUAUCUUUCGAUCCUCAUAUGAUGACUGACAUUUUUCCUUUAUAAACUAACUUUUGGCCAUAUUUGAUUCCAACAAGUGACAAACGUCAAAGUUAACACAGCUGGAGCUAGAAGAACUCUUGAAGAAAUAGAUGGAUGUAUACCCUGAGUUCAUUGAGUUGGGAUUUGGGAGUCAAAACAUGGUAAGUCAAAUAAGCAUAUAUAUGACACCCAAUGAAUUCAUCUUAUAUAUUGACCUAUCAAUAGAUACACAUUUUACAAUGUGGUUAAAUAAAAGCACAAUAUCAAACAUCUGAUAAAAUCAUAGCCAUGCUUGCUUAUUUGAACAAAAUAUAUCACCAACAUCAAAUACAAUUUCAGCACAUAAAGCAACCUCAGUGGUCGUUGUUGAGCCUCCUGCAAUUCUUCCUGAUCUCACCCUGUGACCCAGUUAGUGGUGAAAUGUUGCCCAUGUUCACCAUAGACUGUGCAAAGUGCUGGAAGAAGAGAUUGACAUCAGCAGCAUAUGCCUUCACGAGUGCUGCUGUCUCGGCACUCUUGGUCAACAGAACCUCAUCAGAGCUGAGGAGGCCCUUGCCGGCCAGGAUGUUCUUGUAAUAAAAAUUGUCAAAUUUGGCUGGGGUGACAAAGUCCAAGGGGAAGAGGUUGUUGUCACCACCAGAGCGGGGGCACCCCUGUCUCAGCUGUGCCGCGUACGAUACAUCCAGUGUGCUGUCAGCCAUGCCAUUGCCCGUUUGGUUGUACAGCCUCUGCCGGAAGCUGGUGCACCGAGACAUACCUAUGGUGUGACCACCUAUACAUAUAUGUGGAGUCAAAUCCAUGUUGUCUAGUGUGAGUCUACGUUAAGUCGGUGAAUAACAAAGUACAGGAGAAAUUAUGAAAUAGCAUGAAAAGUCACCAGAGAGGGCGACGACAUCCACAACGUUGAGGCCUUGGAGCUUGAACUUGGUGAUGAUGGUGGGGAGCGUGUUGUUGGGGGCUGGGAUAUCAUUGUUGGAGCCCUGGAUGCUUGCACCGAGCGAGUCCCUCCUGCCAAGUGGCACGUCCCAGUAUGGGCCACCAACCUACAGUUUAGAGUUAAAAAAAAAUCAUCAUGCCAGGAGCACUUCCUUUGCCAAAGGCCAAAGCUAUGGAUAUAUAAAUAUCAUGUCUUCCACUUGUGGUUGGACAGAAUCAUUGAUGGUGGUCGUACCAGGACAGUGGAGUCACGGGCUGCGAUGGCGAGGAUGUCGGCGCAGGAGACAGUGCCUGGGCAGGCAGCCUCGAGAGCGGCCUUGAUCUGGUCGACCACCUCAAACCCCCUGAGGGAGUUCCUGUUGGGGUUAGACCCUUUCUCACUGACUAUGCUGCUGCUGUUGUCCAACAGCACGGAUGCAUCGCAGCCCUACAUGUGGAACAGUAUCCGAAAAGAUUGAUAAUUAUUAGCCAGAUGGAAAUAGUUUAGAGAUUAGGCACACACUACGUAGUAGUAGCGGUAGUAGAUUCAGCAGGCACAUGCAUUGAAUAAAAGGUGACAAACAUUGCACAGAGAGCUUCAAUCAUUGUGCACUAGAGUUAGGUAAACAUCUUCUCAUUUGGCUCACAAAAAUAAACAUCUCACUCAAAAAAGGGAAACAGAGUUAAUCAAUCAUAGUACUGGCUCGAUCAUGUCACCAAGGCAUAAAGUAGUGCUAGCAUGGGCGAUGUAGGUAGUCUUUCUUAUCAGUAGUAAAUAAGUUAGCCUAAAUACUAUAGAUUCUUCCAUGCUUCCUUUUCCAGUACCUAGGCACAUAUACAGGACAGAGUUGAAGUUUUACUUUGCCCAUUUUUAAGUUAUGUUAUAACAGCCAAAGUUAGUAAAUUAAUCCAUACGUUAAUCUUUGCUUUUCACGUUUGUUAGUCUUAUUAUACUGUACCCAGCAUAUAGCUCAAAACUUGAAGUACUAAACUUUUAUCGCUAAUUUGCUUUAGUGCACUGCAGGAACUAUGUUUGGCAAGCAUCAUAGCUGUGUCAUGUAAAGAAUACAAUAGAAGAGAGGAAGCAGAGUUUACUUUGACAAAGCAGUCAUGGAAAUGCAGUCUGACCAAGGAUGCUGCCAUCCUGGUCUCCUUGGCCACAGCCUGUGCCACAAUGGACUGUACGAUCUCCUUCGCCUUGGGGCAUGAAUGGUCGUAGAACUGUGGGAACAAGCCGCCCCAUGGGUGGCUGCGGACGGCAUUGGCAAAGAGGAGGGGAGAAACAAGGCAGAGCAAGACGAGGCAACCCAUGGAGUUUGCCAUGUAAGUAAGUAACCUCUGCUGCACUACGUUACAAGAGAAGAGAGUGUUCCUACUUGCGUGUUUCUUCUUCUCUUGUGGAUGAUUAGAUGAGGUGGGCAUAUGGUGGUAUAUAUAGCUGCAGGAAGUGGGUGUAGUGCAUGUAAGGAAAGGAGGGUGGUUUGGAACAGGGGACGGUGGGAUCAGAUGAAGCAGGCAGCUGGGUUGUUAGGGCAAUGCGUAUAGAAUAAGCGAGCUAGCCAGACACUGUAGCAACCGGUACAGUAAUUCCAUCAAGUUAUAAGUGGUCUCUAACGUCCUUAGUUGCUGUUCGGUGUUUCAGUUUUAGCUGAAAGCAACAUGGAGAUUAAACCUUUUGUCCUAGGCAAGGGUAGGUGGACUGAAAACAACAUCUGCCACUUAUUAAAUGGCAAGCAUUCUGCAAUUUUCUCGAAGGACUGGAGUAGUGCGUUAAACUAAAAUGAAGAGUCUGAUUAAUUGAUGAUAUGCAUUCUGCAACUCAAUCUUUUAAACAAAACUACAUGUACAGUACAAUGAUGCAAUUUUAUUGUGAAUUCCGAACAGUGUCCUCUCCCGGAUCUGUGAGUGUUCCAGGACUGACUUUAAACUACCACAAUAUGACAGGUGUAGCUUUACAGUAGAUCAAACAUUGCUCUAACUUUAUCCUAGUUGUAUUAACAAGUAUUAGUCGUAAUGUAUUCAUCGAACCAUAUUUAACCUUGGACAACACAUGACAAUAUAGCACAGACUGUGUGAACUCAAGUAACCGAAGUACAGAAAGCUUAGCGGAAAGUGAGGUUUUGCUUCCCAGAUAAUCCAACUACUUUUGUUAUAUGUAAGUGUUGUUACAGGUCGGAUGGUAUUUUUAUUAAUGAAUACCACAUGCACGGUUAUCCCCAGGAAGGGUUGGUUGGCGAUCAUCAAACAUGGAUACGUAUCCCUGUCUUUGGGGACAAAAAUAUCCCUGUCUUUGGGGACAAAGUAUCCCUGUCUUUGGGGACAAAAGUAUGAUGCUACAGCUGCAUGCCUUUUUUCGCACUAGCUUCGUAGCAAGAGGUAAACAUCUUAAGAUCUAUCGGUCAUGUUUGUGGUUUCAUACCGUCAAAUUGUACUACCGAUUUAAGGUAUUUUUGCUAUGUUGUGGUGAUCAAUACUUCGAAAGAUCGGAUGGUUCAUGAAACCGCUGGAGCACAUGCGUGCCUAACUACUUCUUUUCUGUUGCCCUAUGCAGGGGACUGGCUGGCUGAUUUCCCAGCGAACACAUGCGUGGCGAUCAGGGUCAAACGCGAUGUGUGAUGUACCAACUCCGAGUACACGGUACAUGAUGAUUCGCGUUAGGUGCUUGCAUGUCCUACAUUCUUGUCACAAGCAGGUUCCUGGAAGGACUUGAGACUGCUGGAAAGCUUCCACACUGGUAGCGGUAGAGAAGCUUUGUUCUUCUGAGCAGCACGUAUCCUUGGCCGUUCCUUGAAGGAAAGAAACAUCAGCAUUGGUUGCUACUGUCAGAUAUUUCAAAGGCACUACAAAGUAAAAAUAAAAGGUUCGUGUGGAAAAUAAGGAGAAAAAUCAGAAGAGUAUUUGCUACUCAUCGAUGUCAUGCGCUAACAUAAAUACAGUACAUAAUUAGCACUGGAAGUAGUAAUGUAGAGAAAAUUCAUGAAGAAAGUGAACUAGUGCUUUGUAACAAUGAUUUGGCUCUUUAUUUCGCGCGAAACACAUAUUAAGCAUACUGAUUGCUCAUUAUCAUUUACAUACUUCGAUUAAACAGAAAAAAAUGUUUGCAUAUGUUAAAGGUGUAAAAAAAAGAGCCUAGCAACUAGUUAGCAUGUCACAUGCCUCUUUCAAAACAGUCCCCAAACUUGGCAUACCUACUGAUAGGUGAUAAGACCUGGGGGGAGACAAAGAAGUGACGUGAAUGAGUAUUGCCUAUUGAGUACCAGCUCAUUUGACUUCUGCUGUGUUGGGCUCCCGGAUUCAUUAUUGUCUAGCGUCUACUGUUCCUGGAUUUCUCAUUUUACUCCUACAACACACGCUUAACCCACGCAGCAAUCAUGCGUUAUGUGGAAGAGACGCGAAAGUUUGAAUAGGCCCCCACAUCACUUCCAAGUUAACCGACACUUCCUUUUCAGUACAGCUGAAAAAUAAUUUGUCAAUGAUUUUUGCGAUUCGGUAGUGAGAGUAGUUUGGCAUGAAUAAUUAAAGACACAAUUAUAUAGCUCAUCACGGAGCUGGUUCAGUGUAUUAUUCUGAUAUUCCUCUUUGCCAACCCUAAUGUGUGGUCGAUGGAUUUGAAGUGUCCCUCGCGUGGAUUUGCUUGCAUUUUAUAAGCAAACAUCAAUUAGGAAAGGAAUCAGUAGGCAAAGGCAGUAUAUAUCUUUGAAUUACUAUUUUUUUUUGGCAAAAUACAAUACAGUCACAAAUGCUCAUGUAUACGCACGCACACUCAAUCCUAUGAAUAUACACACGCAAUCCUAUGAAUUACUUCGUGUGUUCCAAGCUACUUUUAGCCUCGUAACGGGUUAUCUAUAUCAUCCACAGCUCACCAUUUUACAAGGUCAAAUUUUUUAGCUUACCUUUUUUUUUUCUCUGGAUACACGAUAAGAGCAUGCACGCAGAGAAGACUUUUGAUGCCACCCUAUUACGAAUAGAAUUAGCGAGUAUUAAUGUAAUGAGCUCCCUUGGCAUAGAAGGCUGGGAAAGUUUAAGCUAACAAUGAUGGAUUAGACAUAAUUAAUAUUAUGAUGCCAGUUGAUAUUAGUUGAUCGUAGAUCAGAAGAGAACACGAAGACGACUACUACUUUGUUGACUGUUGGAGACUGCCCUUGGCUUCCAAGAGAUGACUGGAAGACUGUUUGCUCAAGGUAGGGUCAGAGGCGCUUGUUUCUACGCUUCUGGAAAUUUAACAGCACUUUACGCUAUCACGCGCGUGCGAUGAACAUAUGAAACUGUGCUUGCAAGCUUGCCAUUCGAUGACGAAAUAUAAAAGGAAGAUUAGGUUGCAGUGAGUGAAAUAGGAAUGUAAAAUGACACAGUUAGCCUUGCCAGCCUAAGCCUGUAAUGUAACAAAAACAAUAUUUUUUUGGGCAACAAUUGUACGCAAAUUUUACUGGAGCCUCAAAUACUGAAAUACUAGGGUUUCGCAAAAAAAAAAUGAAAUACUAGGGAUGUUAUUAGAAGUACUCCUACAUAGACUCAUCUUCAGACAGACAUUUGGAUGAACGAGAUACAUUCACUACACCAGAGUCCUAGAACGACGAUUAUAUUGUUUUAACCAAGUUAUGCGGCAUAGGUGUCUAGAAAUUAUACAUGUGGUUUUCUUUAUACAAUAGAAAGUGAGCCUAACACAAAUGGUUAGAGUGCGAGGUGUGAUUGUGCAUCUAAAGUUCUAAAUUCUUGUUAUUUUUUUUUCCAAAGGUACAUUCAUCUUCAACUCAAAAUGCCUAUUUCUUCUUAAUGAAAACCACCCACCUAGUUGGAUCUUGUUUUUUUUUACAAAACAUAUGCACAUAAUAAAUCCCAUAUGCAUGCUAUACCAUAAUUGGUUAAUAAAACUACUCCCCAGCACCCCUACUCCAACUUGUUAAAACUCGAACAAGAAGGCAAAGCAAACUCAAACACAUUGAGCCACGGAAACAAAGUUGGACGACUAGCCCCAUCUCAUUACCAGCAGCUCAUUAAGAAAAAUCACAUCUAGCAGCUACUCCACAUAAACAAUCGAAACUUUUCAUAGCCUUAAAUUCCUGAGAAUUAAAACUAAAACAAAGUACACAAUCAUCAAUCAUGUAAGCACAGAGGGUGCUCUUCUAUAGGAGUAUGUAGGCACCAGUAUACCAACACACGGGCCUGCCUAUCGUAACCAACUCUAGCAUGCAUUCGUCUGCUUUCCAUUAUCUGGCUGUAGCUGUACCGGUCCUUUUACCUGCUCCACCGGCCAGUGAUGGGCACUGGCCCGUGGAAUCUGGGUGUGGGGUGAGUGACCACUUUGACUCCUGAGAUGGGCGUCAAUCAAUCAUAUUCCACGUAGGACCUAUUAGCUAUAUUUGCAUGUUUCUCAUCUUAUCUUUAGCUUCUUCAGGUCUUCCAUAGUAUAAUGCUAAUCUCACCCUCUCUUGGCAUGAGAAAGUUAAUUACUUUUCCCAAGAAAGGUAAGUUUGGAGUUUAUGAAUGGAAAGUAGCAAGUCACCAUCUUGUUUGUUAAUAUAACGUCCAUAACAAAAGCCAGGAACUAGACGCUGAAAGGUUUGGUAGUAGCCUAGUAGGUAUUGUGGAGUUCCUUGCCUAAAACCUUCUUUUUUUUUCCCUCUAAGUGAGCACCAUAUAGUUCCUGGCUUUAAAUAAAGAUAACCAACAAAUUAAAGGUGGGAUGAUGACUUAACACUCUCUAAAGGUUAGACUUUGCACUCUCAUUUCCUUUACAACACUGCUUCAUCGGUUUGAAAAUGUAAGGUGUUUUUAGUUUUAUUGCCUAGCUAAGUCAAACUUCUCUAAUUUUAAUCAAGUUUAUAGGAAAAUAUAUUAACAUCUAUAAUACCAAAUAAAUUCCUGAAACUAAUUUUUUAUAUAAUUAGUUGGUGCAUUUUUCUAUAAGCUUAAUCAAAAUUGGAGAAGUUUGAUUUAGGACCAAAAUAAAACAUCUAUAUUUUCGAACGGACGGAGUAUUACAACCCCAUAGAAUCGUGCAUGGCUACAUGAAAGCGUGCGUGCUUCAAGCACGAAUGAAAUGCCUCCAUUUCUUUGCCACUUAACAACCUACACAUCGAUGACUGAAAUCACGCACGCGUAAAAAAGAGUUAGGCGCUUUGCAAGUACAACUAAGGGAGGAGCACAUGCAUAAUUAGUUGGUCAUCAUGCCCCUCCAGCUAGCUCUCUUUGCCAAGCUAGCUAAAUGAUGACGCGGUUAAGCUUGGGAGAGCCAGCUCGAUGGAUGGACGUAGUCUGUAGAGACAUGACGUGAUCAUACCCUUUCUUUCUUUGACAGGGACGCACGGCCACGAGAAGCACCUACAUGAGUGAUCGAUUGACCUGCAUCCAAGCUGGUCGUUACAUAUGCGCGUGCAUGAUAACUAACUGUCUGACCAACAAACCAAUGACCUUCUCCGUUUCACAGACAACGAUCGAGCUGGUGCCUUGCUGAUAACUGGAUAAAUGACGCACGAGGAUCAGCCAUGUAUAUGCGUGUGUCUAGGUGGGCCUACUUGGCAGAGUUUCAACUCCAAGAAUUCCAAGAGCUAGUCAACUUUAGCCCCAUAAUUUUUUGGAGUUGGAGAUGGGAGCUGGUGAGCCAUCUUAUUCUUAUUUUGGACUAAAAAUACCUAGUUAAAGUGUUAAACUACCUUAUUCAGUUUUAUCAUACAAGUUGUAAACCGUACAUGGAUCCGAUCGCAGAGUUGAAGCUCUGCCAAACAAGCACUGUAUAUAUAUCUCCUAUCUUCAGAUUCAUAUCGCUUGUUCGUAAGCAUGUCUGAUGACUUGCAAUGGAAAAUAAAGUCAUAGUGUGGGGUACAAUGGUUUCAUAUUUCUGACAACAAUCUCUUCCAUGAGUGAGUCCUAUAAAACUAGUUAGGAAGUGUUUUAACAAGCUAAAAUUUCCAUUUAUCCCAGCUCUCUUGAGAGAGGAUGGAAUGGUUUGAAUUGCCCCAGGUAUAAUCGCAAUCAGGUGUUAAGCCGUUCUUGUUUAUUUAAACCAAAUAUUGUCACAACCAUCAAGUACACAAUUGCUCGUGAAUCAUGAUAGUCAUGAUGAGCACACAAUGUAGCUAGCUCCUGAUGAUCAGUAGCGGUUGCCGUUCAGCCUCCUGCAGUUCUUCCUGACCUCCCCCUGCGCGCCGGUCAGCGGCGAGAUGUUGCCCAUCCUCACCAUCGACCGCGCGAAGUGCUGGAAGAAGAGGUCGACGUCGGCGGCGUAGGCCUUCACGAGCGCCGCCGUCUCGGCGCUCUUGGUCAGCAGCACCUCGUCGGAGCUGAGGAGGCCCUUCCCGGCCAGGAUGUUCCUGAAGUAGAGGUUGUCGAACCUGGCCGGGGUGGCGAGGUCCAGCGGGAAGAGGUUGUUGUCGCCGCCGGAGCGCGGGCACCCCUGCCGGAGCCGCGCCGCGAAGGACGCGUCCAGCGUGGCGUCGGCCAAGCCGUUGCCCGUCUGGUUGUACAGCCGCUGCCGGAAGCUGGUGCAGCGGGAGAGGCCGAUGGUGUGGGCGCCGGAGAGCGCGACGACGUCGGCGACGUCGAGGCCCUGGCGCCGGAACUUGGUGACGAUGGUGGGGAGGGUGUUGUUGGGCGCCGGGAUGUCGUUGUUGGAGCCCUGGAUGCUGGCGCCCAGCGAGUCGCGCCGCCCCAGCGGGACGUCCCAGUAGGGCCCGCCGGCGAGGACGGUGGAGUCGCGGGCGGCGAGGGCGAGGACGUCGGCGCAGGAGACGGUGCCGGGGCAGGCGGCCUCCAGGGCGGCCUUGAUCUCGUCCACCACCUCGAACCCCCGGAGGGAGUUCUUGUUGGGGUUGGACCCUUUCUCGCUCACGAUGCCGGUGCUGUUGUCCAGAAGCACCGAGGCGUCGCAACCCUGCAGGCAGGACAGAAAAGUGUCGCAAAAAGUUGGUACGUGCCAUGACAACGGUGUGGUAACACUCAUUAGGCACAUGCAUUGAGUGGAUGAUAAAAAAUAUUAUUGCAUAUGAAGAACUUGCGUCAAUUAUUUUGAGUUUGAGGUAAGUAAUCAUUUUCUUUUUCAGAAAAAGGGAAAAAAAACAAUCAUCGGCAGUGCACCAAGACAUGAUGCCACCAAGACAUAAGGUAAAGUAGCGUUGGCAUGCGCAAUAUUGGUAGGCCAUCUUAUCAUUGGUAAAAUUUUACAGAUUCCUCCAUGCUACCUCUUCCAAUACCAAAAGUUUCCAGUUGUGCACUCUGCAUUUGGAGCUAUGUGCUUAGCAAGCAUGACAGCCGUGCCAAAGCAUGCAUGUAACGAAAAUUACAGCAGAGAGUUCACGUACCUUGACGAAGCAGUCAUGGAAAUGCAGCCUGACGAGCGACGCCGCCAUCCUGGUCUCCCUGGCGACGGCCUGCGCCACGAUGGACUUCACGAUCUCCUUCGCCUUGGGGCACGAGUGGUCGUAGAACUGCGGGAACAGGCCGCCCCACGGGUGGCCAUGGACGCCGCCGGCGAGGAGGAGGGGAGCGACGACGGCGAGGCAUAGCAGGACGAGGCAACCACGCUUGGAAGCCGCCAUGGCAGUGCCAAGUGAAGAUCAAAGAGAGAUCAGCUUUGCUGUACUUGUGCUUCGAUCUCUUCUUGCGAGGAUGGUUGGAUGAAGUAGUGGCGCGUGGGGUGGUGUAUUAUAUAUAGACAUAGUAGCUGCAGCCUGCAGGAAGGUGGUGCGGGUGGUGCAGUCCAUGGAAGGAGAGGAACCAGGGUGCAGUGGUUCGAGCAGGGGACGGUGGGAUCGGGUGCGGCAGGGCAGCUGGGGCUGUUGGGGACGAUGCGUGCGAAUCAAGUGAGCUAUCCAGGGUCAACGCAGCACGGCCCCGCGCCCAACGGCAACUGCUACAGUAAUUCUGCCAGGUUUGGAGUGCUAACGGCGGCCGUAGUUUCUGUUUGGGCGUCCGUUUGAGCUCAAAUUAAAGAGACUGAGUUUUAUUUUUAUCCUAAAUUAAACUAUGUGUUGAAUUGAGAAGAUGCUAUCAUGAAUUGCUGAUUAUGCUGCUCAUUUAGGCACGCGCAUGAUACGACAUAUCUUUUUUUUUUAAAAAAAGUUAAACACUCGAACAAUACAAUGAGACUAUGAGAGUACAACUUUUAAUAGAAAAUGUGUUUGUGAAUUACUGAUUUGUGCAACACUUUCUGCUGGAUCUGGGAUCCUUCCAGCAAUGUCACUUUAAGCUUAAACCUAGUUAUAUUAUAUAGAAACAGAGAUCAACUCUAUACAUAAGGGUAGUACCGUGGGAGGUCCACUUCUAAUAUUUACUUCCUCCAUCCUAAAUUUCAAGUGCAUAUUUUUUUUUGCUAUGCACUUAAAUAUAUGUUAUGUCUAAAUACAUAGCAAAACUUAUGUACCUAGAAAAGCUGAAAUGACCGACGUACAAUUUAAACAGGGAGUAUGUAACAGUAAUGUAUUCAUCCUACCAUACUUAAGCUCGCUUAGCACAUGACAAUAGAACGAACAUAUCUUCAAUGUGUGAAACCAAGCAACCAAUGCAAAGAGCAGACUAGCUUAGGCAAAAGUGUGGUGUUGCUUCCCAAUUAAUGUAGCUACAUAUAUAUGUAUAUACAUAUAUACUUUUGUCAUACACAAUCGUCUUUACAGGUUGAACAGUAUUAUCAAAGAAGACCAUAUGAAUGAUGACUGACCCCAUGGGGCUUUUCUUUUAAUUUUUAGUGGUCGGUGAUCACGCAUGUAACAUGGAUACGUAUCCUUGUGGACAAAAGUAUUAUGGUACAGUGCACGCCGCACCUUUUUCCCCCUACCAUUCAGAUCACAAGGGGUUCUACAAUGUGGUAUCAUCGUGGAGAGCAGCCAUAGAUUCCAUCGAGCUUUUUUUCAGUACACAAUAUUACCACUUAGUAUAUUACUACUUAGUAUUAUAUAGUGUAUAUAAGAUCUAACUGUUUAUUAUUAUGGAUAAUUUAGUAAUUAUUACAUUGUAAAAAAUAAUAUUUUAAAUGGAAUAGUUUUUUAAACAUUAUGCUAAUGUUAAAAAUAAAAUUAUAGUGAUGCCAUUUGUGUUCUUUUACCAUGAUACUCUUAUACUACCUAUACUCCUAAUGUAUAUUAUCCAUACCACAGGUGAAUGUUUCAGUAGUAUGUAAUUAAUCUUGAUCGUCAGAUGUUUUUAUAUUAAUCCUUUUCAAACGCCUGUCGGGUCAAACGUGCGGCGUGAUGUACCAACUCUGAUCAAACGGCGCAUUGUGAUUGCUUGCAUUGGCUUCAUUACAUUCGUGUUCUCAUCACAAGCAGGUUCCUGGAAGUAGCGACUGUCUGAAAGCUUCCACAUUGGUGCUGUGCAGAUCGAACACGGAUCAGUGGCCGUUUCUUGAAGAAAACAACACCUUCGGUUGUUACUGCAGAAGACAGUUUAUCACACUAGAAAAAAAAAGCUUUAUUCGAGGGAAAUAAGGAGAAAGUAGACAGAUAGUGGUCAACAGCUGUAUUCAUUGUCAUUCAUAACAAGGCUAGGGGGAGAAGCAACAUAGAGAAAAUUCAAUGAGAUGUUUUCAAUGUGGUUUAUCUUUGUUUUGCACGAGAUGUAUGUUUAGCGUAUUGAUUAUUGAUCAUUAUUGUUAUUUGUAUAUUUCUGUGGAACAUACUUUAUUCCAAUAUGGUACUGGAGCUAGUAAAUAAAAACUUAUAAGCCCUACCGUCUUAUUAGCAACUAGAAAUAGCAUGCCACAUGCCUCAAAACAGGAUACGCAAACUUAGUGUCCCUAUUGCUAAGGAUGUACAUACGUACCCAUUUGUGUUUUCUGGGUCGUUAGCCGAUUAGUUACACUAGCAAGCCAUUCAAGAUCAUCUCUCCUCCUAAAUCAAUUAUGUGAAAUGAUAUUUUAGUUCAUUUUUUCAAGUUUCUAGGUUGAUAUAUCAAUGACCCAAAAUGAUUAGGACAUGCAUCCCUAUCUAUUGCUCACCCCCUAAGACCAGCAGCAGACCAAAGAAAAGUGACAUGAUCUCAAAGGGAACCAGCUCAUUAUUUGACUUCUGCUGUGUUAGACCGCUCCUGAGUGAUAUAUUAUAAUCUUGUCUCAUGUUCGUCCCAUUCUCAUUUUACUCCAGAAUUCACACUUAACUACAGCAGUCAGCAGCAAUCAUGCUUUCUGUGCAGGAAAACCACAGGUUGAACAGGCCCCACAUGUCUUCGAAGUUAACCAACACUAUUUUUCAUUCUUUUUUCUAGUACAUCUGAACAAUAAUUUGUGAGUGAUUUCAUUAGUAUAUAUCGGUGCAUGUAUGAAUGAUUAAAUGUAUGAUUAUAUGCUGAUUAAUAUAUUAUUCUGAUCUGAUGUUCCUUUUACCAACCCUGUCGUGGUAGUGACAUUUCGUGUAUGAGCAAGCAUAAUUUGCUUGUAAUUUAUGAGCAAGCAUAGAUUAAAUUAAUUAAAGGGUAAUCACAGGAAAAUAUCUUUCAAGUAUUAUGUGUGGUAAAAAAUACACUUUGGGUAAUUAGCUUCAUGUUGGAUUAUAUUACCCCAUUUCACUAUUUUGCUACCAGGUCAAACAUUACCCUUUUUUCUCCUCUCUUGUUACAUUAUUACUAUGAUUAGAGCGUGCACGAAGAGAAGACUUUUGACCUUAUUGUAAUAAAGCUUUGUGAGUAUAUAAUGAGCUCCUUACGCUACGACUGAUGUGUUAGGCGCGUACUAUUAUGAUUGUGAUACUAUAGCUGAGACUCAGUUGAUCAUAGGAGAAAACAAGUCCAACUCACUGCUUUCUAGACUAUUGGAGACUGCCCUUGGCUUCGAAGACAUGACUCAUUUCAUUUUAUUAAUAUGUUUUCUUUGUCAUAAAAUUGUUUUGCUAACUGUGAUGUGCAUUGUUGCUUAAAGAAGGAUCAGAGGUGUACGCUUCUAAGCUUCUCUAGAGUUAACAGCACUUCACACAACAUGAGAAGCGUGAGAUAGAUUAAGGGUCUGUUUGUUUGAGCUGUAGCUUUUGAGCUUUUCUGAGAAACUGCUGUUGCCUUUUAGUUCUGAAAAGCUAACAUUAGCUUUUAGAAGAUGCAUUUAGCUUUCUGAGCUCAGAAAGCUAAAAAAGCUCAUAAAACUGAGUUUUCCAGCUUCCCAUAUAAACUCAGCUUUUCUGAGCUUCCAGCUUUCUGGAAGCUGCGCUAGAAAUUCGUUGUUUGUUUGAUUUUCUAGCUUUUCACGCUGAGAAACUAUCAGGAAGCUCAAACAAAUAGGCUCAGAAACUGUUUUGUCAUGAGCAUGCUAUCUAUUCGAUGUUAUACCUGCAUAGAAAAAGAGCAAAAAUAAAAUCUAUUAAUUUGAGGAAUAAAUAUAAAAGGCUGGUACAUUGUUGGGCCAUGCAAAUACUAAGGUAGUUCUAUGUUACUGAACACGUCCAUUUUUUAAAUAAGACUGACACACAUCUUCAAAUGGACCGUUAUAUUGGAUUACACAAUAGUACCUUGAUUUAAGCAUUUUAUACAUCGAGGUGACUGAGGAAUUACACUGAGAAUCGACAUAUAAAUAUUUAAGCAAUAGAUGUAACACCUUUAAAAAACAAAAAGAGUGAAAAAAGAGAGAUCAAACCGCAUCAUCCGGCCUAGCCCUACGUGACGCCCUAGAACCGAUGCAAUGCUCUACUGAUGGGCUCCACCCUAAUCCAAUUUGUUAAAACUCGAGAAAGGUAAAACAAGUUUAUAUUAAAAACAUCGAGCCAUGAAAGCACAUGAACUAACCUUAUCAUCACCUUUAUUAAGAAAGAUCACAUCUAGCAAGCUGCUCCACAUAUACAAUCAUAAACCCAUGACCCUAAGUUGCCAAGAAGGAAGAUAUUAAAGUACACAAACACAGUACAAUCAUGUAAGCUCAAAUCAGGGAUCUGCAAAUUGUAACCAAGCAACUCGUGUUCCCUUUGAUCCAUAUGGCCGGCCUUUUCACCUGCCCCCCCGCCGGCAACUAAUCAGGAUUGGCCACAGACUAUGGGCAACCACUUGACUUUUGACUUUGAGGUGGGCGUCAAUCAUAUGGGGUCAUGUGACCUAACUAAGUGGUUAUCCUUGCUUGAUCUCGUCUCUUCUUGGUUCAAGGUUUAACUUUCUUAAUUUAGUUCUUUCAUGAUCUUGUAUAUCUUGCUAUUCGGUCACAUGAGAAAAUUACUCUGCAAACCAGCUGAAAAUAUAAGUCUGGCUCUGGCAUUUAGUUUUGUGGGUAGAAAAUAGAAUAAGUGUCACCAUCUCGGCUGUUAGGGUAUAUAAGCACCUAGUAAUUGAGGAUACUAAAACAAACCAUGCAUAAUGGUGGUAAAUAAUCGGGAAUGGAGCAAUUCUGGGUUGGUUGUACGCGUCAUUUAGCACCCAUAAAAUCACUCUCUUAUAGUGAACGCUAAAGUACCCAACUUAAUUUCAGAGGCAAAAGGAAAAUGGUUUCCCUUAAAUUGUCUCCCAAGGUUGACCUUGACACCAUCAAACUUUGGGCAUAAAUCUGUUAGAAUAGAUUAAUUGUGUUACUCUCGUCCCAAAAAUAUAGUUGUUUUUUUAUUUGAAUCCUAAAUACAACAUUCUUUCUUUCACCAACAUUGUCUCUAAAAAUAACUUAUUCAAAUAGAAAAAAAUUACAUAUUAUGAUAGUUGCUUUCAUGAUGAAUCUUCUAACAUCAUUUUUCACAUUGCCAAUCUUUAUAAUAUUUUUUUUACUAUUCACAGUCAAAGUUAAAAUGGUUUGACUUAAGAUAAACCUAAAUGCAGGGAUGGAGGGAUCCGUUACCAUGGCCACAAUACAUGAAAGUGCUCAGGUGUCAUGAGUUCCAUAUAUGACACACUUAACAAUAUAGUUCCAUACCGAUAUGAUGGAUGUAAUUGUUUGUAUAAAAAAAAGCACUUUGCGAGUACAACAGAUCGGGAGUUCCAUCUUUUCCCUGCAUCAAGUUGAAGAGUGCUGGUCUGCUGAAUGAGCAUGAUGGCCCUAGACAGAGCUAGCCUGCUUUAGUCCUUUUAUGUGACGACUGACGUCUGACUGGUCACGACGAUGUCGACGUAUCCGUGGUACGUUGCACUGAUCCAUUAACUCAUCAGAACGCCACAUGAUCAGCUCCAAAAGACACUGGUGUGCAGCAAGGUGGUGGAGUCAAUUCAUCCACUGGGGAUUCCUUGUUGUAACCAAACAGACAGAAAAGAACAAGCUUCCAUUUAUCCCGGCUUUCACGCAUCGAAUGGAACAUUCUUUCUUUUACACUAUAAUGAAAAGCAUUUGCAGUCCCCGGUCAUGCUGCUGGUUAGCAGCUUAAUCGGGCGUCAAGCCGUUCAUGAUUAUUCAAUCAAAACAUGUCAUCAACAUCAACACCAACAUACAAAUCCAACACUCUCCACAAAUAAAACGGUCAAGCAGCGCCCUCCUGAUCAGUAGUGGUUGCCGUUGAGCCUCCUGCAGUUCUUCCUGACCUCCCCCUGCGCCCCGGUGAGCGGCGAGACGUUGCCCAUCUUCACCAUCGACUGCGCGAAGUGCUGGAAGAAGAAGUUGACGUCGGCGGCGUAGGCCUUGACGAGCGCCGCCGUCUCGGCGCUCUUCGUCAGCAGGACCUCGUCGGAGCUGAGCAGGCCCUUGCCGACGAGGAGGUUCUUGAAGUAAUAGUUGUCGAACUUGGUGGGGGUGGCGAGGUCCAGCGGGAAGAGGUUGUCGUCGCCGCCGGAGCGCGGGCAGCCCUGCCUCAGGUGCGCGGCGUAGGAGGCGUCCAGCGUGAAGUCGGCCAUGCCGUUGCCCGUCUGGUUGUACAGCCGCUGCCGGAAGCUGGUGCAGCGGGAGAGGCCGAUGGUGUGGGCGCCGGAGAGCGCGACGACGUCGACGACGUCGAGGCCCUGGCGCCGGAACUUGGUGAUGAUGGUGGGGAGGGUGUUGUUGGGCGCCGGGAUGUCGUUGUUGGAGCCCUGGAUGCUGGCGCCCAGCGAGUCCCGCCGCCCCAGCGGCACGUCCCAGUAGGGGCCGCCAACCUGCGGCCGGGGUCAGUAGCUAGUUGAGAUCACUAAGAAUAUAUAUAAUAAUCGCGGUCGUUUCUGCUGCUUACAAGGAGGGUGGAGUCGCGGGCGGCGAGGGCGAGGAUGUCGGCGCAGGAGACGGUGCCGGGGCAGGCGUGCUCCAGGGCGACCUUGAUCUCGUCGAUCACCUCGAAUCCUCUGGCGGAGUUCCUGUUGGGGUUGGACCCUUUCUCGCUCACGAUGCCGGUGCUGUUGUCCAGCAGUAUAGAGGCGUCGCAUCCCUGCACACAGAGAAAGAUAGUGACAGAGAAGAUUACUAGUUAGAUUAGGCGCAUGAGAGUCAUUAGAAACAUGCCUUGAAUGGAAUAUCAAAAUUUCACACAUGUGGAGGCUGUCAAUUAUUGUGUAGUCAUAUUUUUUUCAUAGUAGAUAAUUAAAUAAACGAAGGAUUGAUGAACCAUGGUACAAAUAAAGUGGCGUGCUCCUCUUGGAAAUGUAGGUAGGCUAUCUUAUCACUGGUACGGUAAAAGAAAAGUUAGCCUAGGAACUGCAGAUUCUUCCAUGCUGACUUUUCCAAUACCUACGCACAUAUAUAGAAAAAAAGUUGGAGUUGUAGACUGCACUUUAAGUGAUGUGUUUAUGCAGAUGAAGUUGGUAAAUAGGCACAAUAAUCAUUGAAUUUUUAGUGCUUCAUCAUAUGUUUGUUUGGAUUUCAAAAUAAUUUUGUACGGAUCACGUACAGUUCCAUUGUACUAAACACAGAAGCCAAAACUUUAUGGUACGAAACGUUGCUGAUUAGCUAUAGUGCGCUUCGGGAACUACAAGUUUAUCAGGCGUCACAAUAGUGCAAAACAUGCAAACAAUAAGAUACAGUAGCAAAGAGCUAGGAAAGCAGUAGCAACCUGGACAAAGCAGUCAUGGAAAUGCAGCCUGACGAGCGAGGCCGCCAUCCUAGUCUCCCUGGCGACGGCCUGCGCCACGAUGGACUUCACGAUCUCCUUCGCCUGGGGGCACGAGUGGUCGUAGAACUGCGGGAACAGGCCGCCCCACGGGUGGCCAUGGACGCCGCCGGCGAGGAGGAGGGGAGCGACGAGGAGGCAGGUGAGGAGGACGAGGCGACCAUCCAUGGAAGCCGCCAUGGGAGCGAAGUGACCCAACAGAUCUUCUUGCACAGUGCUCUGAAACUCACAAGUAGAGAAGAGAGCUUCUGUGCUCUGGAUGGCCAGAUGAGAUGGGCUUUGGGUGCUAUUUAUAGCUGGAGGGAGGCAGCUAGCAUGUGUGUAACGAAGGGAAGGUGGUUAGGGAUUUGUUAGGGUGAUGCUUAUAGAAUAAGAGGGUGAGCAAACGAGCGAGCUAGGUCGACUCCACAUUGUGUCCAACUGCUACGGUUGUUCUUCCAUCUGGCUGCAAGUAUGACUGUUGAUGCCUCAGUUUUAGCUGACAUUUUGACUGUUGAUGCUUCAGUUUUAACCGAAAUUUGCAUGGACAGCAUUGAGCUUCUAGUCCCAAAUAAUUGUAGGCGAAGAAAUCGUUUCUGAUCAGGUGAGACAUUUUUCCACUCAGAAGCGACAAGUCAGCAGUAGGUACAGUACGGUUACAGGUUACUGCAGAAACAGCAAGUGCUGCUUAAACAGGAUUGAACUGAAAUAAAGAAUAUUGUUUCGCCCAGCAAAAAAAAAAAACACUGAGAAGAAGAUAUGAUGGAUUGCUGAUUAUGCUGAUCAUAUAGCUAGGGGCUAGGCACAAUGAUAGAAUAUGCAACUUUCUGUCUAUAAAUUGAUCAGUUGAAUAUGUCCUCUGCAGCAUACAAGAGCCCCCUUCCGGGAAAUCUAGCUACAGCAAAAUUAGGCAGCUUUACAGUAGAUUAGUGGUAGAUAUCAGUUCGUCCCAGUAGUAAUAUAUUCACCCGAACUAUAUAACCUCGCUUAUUAACAGUUUAACACUAUGUGAAACCAAGCAACCAAAGUUCAGAGGAGCCUCGGCGAAAAGCAUGGUUUUGCUUCAUAGUUAGUCCAGCUUCUUUUGUUAUACACAAGGGUUGUUACAGUUUGAACUUAAUUUACUAUAUUAAUGACGACCAUAUGCAGACUAUGCCCCUGGUUUCUUUGGUUUUUAAUGGUUCGGUCAUCAUUGAACACGUAUCAGUAUCCCUGUCUUUGUGGAAAUGAUAAUGAAAGGUACACAAGCUUCUGGGAUUCAAGAUGAGUAGUGAGUAGCGUCUAAGAUUUUCCAUUUAUUCGUCAUGGUUCCAUACAUCAGAGUUCUACUGCCAAAUUAGGGUAGUUUUGCCGUGUUACAUUAGCUAGGUGAGGAUCACUACAUGAAAGAUGGGGAAUGGCUUGUCAAACGGCUGUGCACAACAUGCUUAACAUGGUUGCAUUGCAUUAUUCUGUGUUCAAUCCAGGGGUCUAAAAAUAAGUGACUGAUUUUCCCAGGGGACACAAGUACACAGACCAAUCCAGGCGAUAUGAUGUGGUGUACCAACUCUGAGCCACACGGCGCGUGAUGAUCCGUGUGUUAGGUGCUCGCAUGGCCUACAUUCUUGUCACGAGAGCAGCAGCAGGUUCCUGGAAGGACUUAGCUUGGAUGUUGUUUGUUUGAAAGCUUCCAAACUCAAACAGGUCGGGAGAAAGCUUGGUUCUUCCGUGCAGCACGUAUCAGUGGCCGGUUCCUUCAAGGAACAAAACAACAGCGUGCUUUGUUACUGUCAGCAUACUUUUUUUUAGGGCAGUUACUGUCAGAAGAUUUUUUUUAGGGUAGUUACUGUCAGAAGACUUCAGAGGCAUGCAUGCACAUCUGUAGUUUGUCAUGAAUGCAUUGCAAAGAGCAGAUAGGUUCGUGGCUUCUUGCAUAUGGUAGAGGAGUAAAAUUUUAUAUCCCUAGCAACUAUACUGAUAGCAUGUUACAUGCCUCAAAAGAGGUCACAAACUUUUAGCAUCCCAAGCAACUGCUGAACCCUGGAGGAGACCAAAAAAAAAAGUGACAUGGACAAGGUUACCUGCUCAUUUGACUAGGCUCCUGAUUCAUAGCUGUCUUAUGUUCUCCUCCUCCCCUUUCCCGGUCUACUCUGGUAAUUUACUCUUACCAACAUUUCUGAGAAGAAAGGGCCAAAGUUUUAGUAGGUAGGCAAGCAUUAUUUAUUUUUUGUCAUGCAUCAGCUGAAAAUAAUUUGUCUAUGAUUUCUUAGUAAGUCAGUGGAAGCUGCCAUGAAUAAUUAAAGGAAACUAUUACGUAACCGAUCGAACUCUAAAUAAAGAAAACAACUACUCCCUCCAUUCCAAAUUGUAGGUCGUUUUAGCUUUUCUAAAUUUAUAGAUAUUAUUAUGCAUCUAGACAUAUACUAUAUCUAGAUAUGAUGUUAUUCUGAUAUGUUAUUACGCAACUGAUCGGAGAGCUGUUUAAUGUAUAUGUUAUUCUGAUAUGAUGUUUCUUCUACCAAACCCGGAUGUGGUGGCCAGAUUUUGUGUGCCCCUCACAGGGAUAUGCUUGUAAUUUGUAAGCAAGCAUUGAUUAAAAAAGAAGGCAUUAUAUUCGUUGGCAAAUAUCUUUUAAUUUAUUUUAUGUGGCCCAGAACACUUUGAUUAGGUUCAUAAUUAUAAUGUGUUAUAUUACCAUAUUUCACCAAUUUGGUCAAAGCAUUACCUUUUUUCUCUUGAUGUUACAUUAGUUAUGAUUAGAACAUCCAUAGAAGAUGUUUGGCCUUAUUUUGAAUAAAUCUAUAGCGAGGAAAUGUAAAUCGUCUAACAAUUCCGUUCAGAUCACUGUUAUGAUUAUGAUGCUGCUAGUUGUAUGUGUGUAUGUGAUGGUCGUCGAAGAAUACUUUGUUGACUAUCGGGAGACUACCCUUGGCUUCAAAGGGAUGACUUCAUUUCAGUUUAUCCAUGUGUUUUGUUUGACAUAUUGCAAAAGUGGUAUUGUUUGACAGGAUUAUAAUGCUGCUAUUCUGUGAAGCAUGACGUGUUGUUGCUUAAGGUAGGGUCCAGAUGUGUUUUUUCCUAGGCUUCUGGAAAAUUAACAGCACUUUACUCAAUCUCUGAAGCACGCGAUUAACAUCAGAAACUGUCGUUACAAGCCCGAUCCUUCCGCUGGUGCCACCGCAUGCUGACUUUGACUGCUUGUAAAAAGGUGAGCAGUAGAAGCUAAUCCUAGUUUAGAAUGAUAGUACUUGUGCAUUGACAACUCCCUGCACAGAUCUGCAGCCACCUUCACCGGAUCUGCCAAUCUCCAAGCUCGUUGAGUCAACACAGCCUCCAAGCUUGUCAGCUUCUAAUCCGGUUGCUUUGUGGCCCGGAUCUGCGUUUUGCCCCUCAGAAUAAUGUGUCGGUAGUGAUUUAUUUUGUUCAACUCCACAUUUUUCGCACUUUUAAGAGAUUUUGCCUGAGCGAUUUUCUUAUUUGCAGAUGAGUGGAGAAACCAUUAUUUGUCAUUCGAGAUGUUUGCUCGUGCUAGCAGUUGCUUUCAAGCUACAGGUAUAUGAUAGAUUUCAUAAACAGAUUAGACUGCAGUUUUGUGUAACCAUUAUUUGUCAUUUGCGUUAACCUAUUUUGGUGUAACCAUUAUUUGUCAUUUGCCUUAUCCUAUUUUGGUGUAACCAUUAUUUGUCAUUUGCUUUAUCCUAUUUUGCAUUGGACAACAUCAGCAUCAUAUCUUUGGUUGCAUUUCACUGAUUAAUGCUUAUGUAAUAUCUUUAGUUGCCUUAUUGCUAACUUAGAAAUAUUAUUGUUUACCAUAUCUGAGAAUUCUUGUUAUCUGCACUUGCAUUUUUUCCUUUUAGCUCUAACGCUCAAAAUUGCUGAUUCAUGGUUUCAUGUUGCAGAACACAAUACACAAGGAUUAAUGCAUUAUUUGGACAAGAACAUAUGUUUUUGAGUGAGCAUGCAGGUAUAAUUUUGUGUCAGAUAAAAUAUAUGGAGAAACUUAUGGCUCCGGUAUGCUUACAGUCAUAAUUCUAAUAACUGAUAUAAAGUAUGGCACAAUGAUAGAAAAUAUGCUUGAUUCAUGCAUGAUCUCAAUGCUUCUGUCUUUUCUUUCAAAUAAAGUAUGCCUCCAACUGUUCGCUAUGAUGCAAUACUACUACUGUCAUUUACCCUUGUGAUUUCUGAAAAAAUUUCAUGCAACAAGUGUCGAUGUCUAUAUUAUGAUGUAUUACAAUUAAGAUAGUGUUUGGUUCGUGCUAAGGUAAUGUAAACGCUAAGGGAAUCAGAUUACAGUGUAUUUGAAGGUGGAAUAGGUGAUUGCCCUCUUUGUUUGGUUGCACUCUGGUAACGUAAUCAGAUUGCUGUGUGGGUGCUAUAUCUGAUUACGGUGGGGGAGGAGGGGUAACAAGCUUGUAUAGAUAUUAUUUAGGUAAGGGAUUCGAUUACAGUGUCAAUUGAUUACAAACCACCGUAACCAAACAUAUGUAAUGGGAUUCGUUACCUUCAAUAAUCAGAUUACGUUACGUUUGAGCCAACCAAACACUACCUAAGUUGUUGUGGCUUCUUCUUACAAUGUUGCCUUAAUAAGUUAAUGUUUAGUUCCUUUUCACAUGCAAGGAAAGAAGACGACUGAAAAUGGUUCAUCUCAAUCGUGUUGAACACAGGUCCACAUGUAUGUCAUCGAUGAUGUGUGUUUUUCACUUUCUAUGAAAUGAGAUGUAGACAGCCACAUUUGAUAUGUAUGUGCUGCGAAUUUAUUGAAAAAUAAUGAUUGCUUCUAUGGAUUGUACAAAGGUAUAAGCCUUUUCAUUGAAAUUGCUUGUAUGGAUUGUACAGAGGUAUAAACCUUUUGAUUGAAAUUAGCUAUAUGUGCAAUGUAUCUGUUUGUGAUUGAAUUUGCCAUGUCAGUUGAAUAUUUGAAUGAGGUAAUUUGUGUAUUGGACUUUCUCUUUUUUUUAGUCUUUUAGUUGGGUUUUCCCUGUGUGGCAACUGACAGAGAAAAUACUUUAACCUGUCGGUUCCUGACGCUUUGCCAAACCUGACUACAUGGAGAUUCCCUGUGAGGAAACCGUCAGGGAAUAUCCGUCAGAAAAAUAUGUUCUGACGGAAGAUUGACAGGCAAAUUUAUUUUCUGUGUCGAUCUAUCCCUGUCAGGAUUUGCCUGUCGGUUGGCCGACAGAAAUAAUUUUUCUGACCGUUUUCCCAUAUUUUUCUGACGGGAUUGGGUACACAGGAAAAAAGUAGUUUCUAGUAGUGACAAGGCAUAGCUUAUUAGGGAAGAAGAGGUCACAUCUUAUAACAAAAGGAGUGAAAAGGAAAAGAGAUAUAACCUUUUUCACUGCAUUAGUUGUUCCAAAUGUCUUUUUAUUAUAAGCAAAAUCCUAAAUAAUACUUAUAAUUAUUUGACUGACUUAUAUUUAUGUUCAUAUGGAUAAAAAAAGUUCAUAUAACUUCAGCCUAUGUGGCUGACUAGGCCGGCAACAAUCAAAACGAACUCAAAAUAUAAUCCAAUUUGUUAAACAAAGGCAAAACGAGCUCAAAACGCAUUGAGCCACGAAACCACAUGUCCAUAAACUAACCUUAUCACCAUCACCAUUUUAUUAAGCCAAAUCACACUCACACCUAUCUACCCGUCUACUCCAUAUUCAAUCAUAAACUCCCAUAACCCUAAAUUCACAGAAAAGGAAGAAACUAGAGUAGUACACACUGCCCAAACACAGCCAUGUAAUCUCUAAUCUCGAAGGAGGCUCUACAAUAAGCAGUAGUACUGUACCAACUACACAUGGGGCCUGCCUAUCGUAACAAACUCUUGCGUCUGCUUCCAUCUGGCUGUACGGUCUUUUCAACUGCUUCCUGCAGUCAACAAAUCAGCAUUGGCCACGAAAUCUGGACAACCACUCGACUUUUGAGAUGGGCGUCAAUCACAUGGGACCUAUCUAAAGCGGUUACAAUUUUGCUUGAUCAAUGCAUGUUUCUCAUCUCUUCUUCUUCUUGGGUCAAGGUUUAAUUUAUCUUCUUUUGGCUAUAUCCUUUCCAUGAUCUACCUCGCUCAUGUUUCGUACGAGAAAUUAAGAUUACUUUGCAAGCAAAAGAUAAGGUUUGGUAUUUUACUGGUGCAAUGUAGUAGUCAUCGUUUUUCUUGUUGUGGUAUACAUCUAGUGAUCGUGAGUGUGGAACAAACGUAUUGAUCAUAAUACCAAAACUGUGCGAAUUUGGUAAUGGUUGCCAUCAGGUACCUAGACCAUCGGAGCUCAAAUCUAGGCGACUACCUCUUUUCUUUCAGUUAACGCACAAGUUCGUAUGUGCUGAUGUAUAUACUAUAUAUCUCCUCCAUCGCUUAUUAUAAGCACUACAAGAAACACCCCCCUAUAGAUACGUUUUAUUUUUAGGUUAGAUACGCUUUAUUUCAUCUCUAGUGAAUUAUAGAUACGCUUCACUAAAGCGUGUCUGGAGCGUCUCCCCAUGGACCAUGUCAAGAACUAUAAACACGUUUUGUCAAACGUGUCUACAAUUCGGAAACAACACUUUAAAAACGUAUCUACGUUGCAAGUUUUGAAGUGCUUUACUAAAGUAUGUUAACAACCAUAUCUACUGACGGGAGCAUAAGAAAUAUAGAUACGCUUUCAAUAGCAUAGCAAUCCAAGCGUGGCUGUUUUGUUGUAGUGAAGGUGUGGUUUGUCUUGACACGGUCCAUGAAUUAAAAUAAACUUUUGACUGUUCUAUAUUUACAUGAUUUACCUAUGUGGAGCAUGACCCACUUUGUGAUAUGUGAGUCAAGAUCAUGAUCAUGAUGGAUGCGGAACUCGGGAAGCACAGUAGCAUGACACACUAGCAUGAGAUUGACGACCUUUGCAUCAUAGUUUGUCAUAUGUAGGAGUUUGCCCUUGCUGUUUACUAGAAAAACAAAUAGAGUCCUCGCGAGGCUUUUUUUUAUAUAAAAAAAACUGAGGUUGCGAGCUUCUCUUUACUUCUUUAGUCUUUCCAUUAGGGGUGGCUGCUAAUCCUCUUGAGAAAGAGAGGAGAAUAACCAAACAAGGUCUAUGGGGUGACUGCUAAGCUUCUGUUCCCAGAGGGGUUUUGCGCGCAGGAAGGAGGCCAGAUGCCAGGUUGGCCGGCACCUGGCUCUGCCACGUGGAUGCAAUGCCACUCACGAUUCACUACACGCUUCCUUUGACAGCGAUGGACGGCCCUCAUCCGUUGACCAGAGGAGACUAUAGCCCGUCAGUUACACCCAUGCAGCCAUGCUAACAAACUUGCUCGCCAACCAACUUACAUACCCAGCUCAGGUGGCUGACCCUUUCCUUCCGUCCGUUCCAGUCCCACCGUCCCACGGAGGGUGGCGAGCUGGUGCAUGCGUCCUAACCUGAUCGACGACGACGCACUGCUGGCCGCGGACCGCUGCCCGCUGCUACUCGGCUGCCAGAUCGUACAUGACGCGCUAGCUUUGCCAUAGCACGUAGGCGUGUGGGCAAAGACGCAAACGCGUCAUGUGCUGCCUGCCCUGCCCGUCUGCCCGUGCCCGGGUACAUCGUCAUAGCGUGACGCCAAGUGAGAUUUCCGCUCAGCGUCGGUGACCUUGUCCUCCCGUGGGUCAAAGGCUCGGGAAAGGCCACGCACGCCGACAACGCCGGCCAAGGACGACGCGACGGGCAGGUUGAUGGCUGGCGGGAGUGGUUGCCAUCAGGGCACCAGCGAUGUAUGGUACCGCACCUGGUCUGGGUUCCACAUGGAUGUAAUGUUAACUGCUAUUUUGCAGACAAUGUGUAGAAACGAGCAGCUGAAUCCAUGCGUAGGACCUGCUCGAUUAAAAAAACAGCUGCUCGGUUAAACUUGAAUCGGCGCUACUGUUAAGUUGGUGUCAGAGUUUCGAGUUAUUUUAUUCGCUGGUACCCGAUUCCAUACGGGUUCUCCUUGGAAGCACACCCCAACUCCCAACUUUGACACUAUGCAAAAAGAAGAUUCCCAAUCACAUCAAACUUGCGGUACAUGCAUGGAGUACUAAAUGUAGACGAAAUUAAAAACUAAUUGUACAGUUUUGUUGUACUUUGCAAGACGAAUCUUUUGAGCCUAAUUAAUCAAUGUUUGGACAAUAAUUCACAAAUACAAACGAAACGCUAUAGUGUGCUACAGUGCUGGCACAGUAAUUUGGACACUCCAAAUUUUAGCACCUAAACAAGGCCUAAUUGUAUAGGAUCAGAUUUUCCUGCCCAUUGGAGAGGUCCUCAUGCAUGCAUUGCUGCAGCUGAAAAUUCCGGCGCGGCCUUAAUGCUGGCCAGGGCCGGGCGUAGUCGACUGACUCCACUCACAGUGCUGAUGCGACGAGCUACAUCGAGGCUGGUGCCCUGGAGCAGAGAUUGAACCAACUAACCGUUUGGAUCUCAGCCACUGUACGUGCACUUCCGACGAAGUAGCAACAGUAUGUAACCUUUCUUCCUGAUGACAAAAUUGCUUGUUCAGAUAACAUGCCACUUCCAGGAAGGAGACUGCAAAACCAUCGGCCUUGCAAGAGCAAGCUAGCACAUCUUCUGUCAGUAACACACUACUAUCUGCUAGCUGCUUAGAGUAGUGCUUACAGCUGGGGUUGUCAUUACUGCUUUGCUUUACUGCUGCCAGUGUACGAUCACUUGAAACUGCUUGCAACUCUGGCGCAGUUGCAAGUACAGCGUUCCAUUUGUUAGGAAUAAUCAGCAUGUAUUCCCAGGGGGCCAAUAGACCCAUAUAAGUAGAGUACAGGUGGUAGUACAUAUACACAGAACCCCUUGUACAAUGGGAUAAAUACACAAAGGAAACAUAUCUCUAACACCCCCCUCAAACUCAUGGUGGAUCUACAACACUGAGUUUGGAGAGAAAGUAACUAUGCUGUGCACGAGUCUGUGCCUUCGUGAAGAAGUCAGCGACCUGGAGCUCCGAAGGCACAUACUGAAGAACAACCACCUGAUCCUGAACCUGAGACCGAACAAAGAAGGCAUCAACACCAAUAUGCUUGGUAAGCUCAUGCUUCACCGGAUCCCGAGCAAUAUUGAUAGCCCCCGUGCUGUCAGAGUGAAGAGGAGUCGGUCCAGUCAAAGAAACACCAAAAUCCUCAAGUAGCCACCGUAACCAGGAGAGCUCUGCUGUCAACAAUGCCAUAGCACGCAACUCAGCCUCUGCACUAGAACGGGAAACCGCGGUUUGCUUCUUAGUCUUCCAAGCAAUGAGAGAACCACCCAAGAAAACACAGUAAGCAGAAAUGGACCGGCGAUCAGAGGGAUCACUAGCCCAUGUAGCAUCAGAGUAAGCAUGAAGCUGCAAGGAAUUGGAGCGUGGAAAGAAAAGACGGCGAGAGCUAGUGACACGCAGGUAGCGCAGAACACGAAGAAGAUGACUGUAGUGAAUAUGUGUGGGGGCGGAAACAAACUGACUGAGAAUAUGUACGGCAUGAGAAAUAUCCGGACGAGUGACACCAAGAUAGACCAAACUCCCAACAAGAUGGCGAUAGCGGGUAGGAUCUGCCAAAGGCUCACCAUCAGUAGGACGAAGCUGGAGGUUAAGCUCCAUCGGGGUGUCAACCGUACGCUCAUCAGUCAGAGAGGCUCGAGCGAGAAGAUCAUGAAUGUACUUCUCCUGGGAUAAGAAGAAACCAUCAGACGAAGAGGAAACCUCGAUCCCAAGAAAAUAGCGAAGAGGACCAAGAUCAGACAUGAGAAACUGCUCACAAAGCCGAGCCUUGACAAAGGCAAUAAACUGAGAAUCAUCCCCUGUGAUAAUCAUAUCAUCAACAUAUAGGAGAAGAAGAGUACGACCACGAGGAGAAGAGUGGAUGAAGAGCGCAGGAUCAUGGUCACUAGCAGAGAAACCAGCAGCAGUGACAACAGAAGAGAAACGCUCAAACCAAGCUCGAGGGGCUUGUUUAAGGCCAUACAAAGAACGACGAAGAUGACAAACCAUGCCUUCUGGAACAGAAUACCCCGAAGGCGGCUGCAUAUAGACAUCCUCACGCAACUCACCAUUAAGGAAAGCAUUCUUGACAUCAAGCUGAGAGAUCGACCACUGACGAACAGAAGCAACAGCAAGGAGAGUACGAACAGUGGUCAUAUGAGCAACCGGAGCAAAAGUCUCAUCGAAAUCACGACCAUGCUCCUGCUGAAAACCACGAGCCACAAGACGUGCCUUGUACCUCUCAAGAGAACCAUCAGAGCGAGUUUUGACUUUGUAUACCCACUUGCACGUGAUAGGGCGAAUGCGAGGAGGAAGAGGAACAAGUUCCCAGGUACCAGUACGCUCAAGAGCAGCUAACUCUGCCGCCAUCGCCUCCUGCCACUCAGGAUGAAGGAUAGCAUCGCGAUAUGAAGUCGGCUCAGAAAGGACAGUAGAAGAAAAAGCAACGGGAUCGUACCGAGCAGGAGGCCGACGAACUCGACAACCACGUCCAAGAAGCGGCUCAAGCGCAGGCGAAGGAGGGGUGUCAGAAGAAGAUGCCGAAACAUCAGGAGAAGAAUCAUGCGGAGAGGACACAACCCGUCGUGUAUAGACAUGUGUCACUGGAGGCUUCACGGAAUAGUCAGGAACCAAAGGAGAAGGCUCAGAAGAUGAAACCACAGAAGAAGGCAAAAUAGAAGGGGACUCUGUAGGCAAAGGUACAAGGCUCGAAGGAGGCAGAAAAGCAAUAGGUGUAUCGGGGAAAGUCAAGAAAGAAAGCGGCUCGACCAAAGACGACUGUGAAUCAUCAGAGGAAGGACGAGGAUAAAAUGGACGAGACUCAUCAAAGACAACGUCGCGAGAAAUCCGCAUCCGACGACUGACCGGAUCCCAGCAACGAUAUCCCUUAUGCUCAGAACUGUAGCCUAGGAAAACACACUCAACAGACUGUGAAGUUAGUUUGGUACGCUCCCGAGGUGGAAGAAGAACAUAGCAAACACAACCAAACAGUCUAAGCGAAGAGUAGUCAGGUAGACGUCCAAAAAGAUGCUCAAACGGAAUCCCCCCCUGAAGGGCAGUGGAAGGCUGAAUGUUAAUAAGAUGUGUGGCAGUAGAGACAGCCUCAGCCCAAAAAUGAGGAGGAACAAAGGAGGCAAUCAUGAGUGCACGCGUGGUCUCAAGGAGGUGACGAUGUUUGCGCUCGGCUACACCAUUCUGCGCAUGGGCACCAGGACAAGAAAAUUGAGGAAGGGUUCCCUGAGAGUCGAGGAAAGCACGGAGAGAUCGAGAAAGGAACUCGCCAGCAGAAUCAGCACGGAAAGCACGAAUAGACGUGGCAAACUGAGAACGAAUCAUAGUAGCAAAGCGUCGAUAUAUGGGUAGAACCUCGCUACGAGAGGACAUAAGAUAAAUCCAAGUAUAGCGAGAGAAAUCAUCAAUAAAAAUGAUAUAGUAUCUGUGACCCCCUUUUGAAGAAAAGGGAGCAGGACCCCAUACAUCUGAGUGGACUAAAUCAAAAGGACGCUGAGAGACAGACUCACUACUAUGAUAAGGAAGCUGAAUAUGCUUUCCCAAGCGACAACCUUGACACGAAUGAAGAGAAACAUCUCCUGAGAUAGGACCAAGAAGACCACGAUGAACUAAUGAAGAUAAUCGAGAUCCACAGACAUGACCAAGACGAUGAUGCCAUUGCUGAAAUGUGCCUGUGGAAGAAGAAGUAGCAAGACUAGCAGCAGCGGAAGGAAGACGAAGCCAGUCAAGCUGCCAAAGGCGUUGAGAGUCACGGAGCCGACGGCCAGUACCAAUCAGGGACCCCGUGCGACGAUCCUGAACAAAACAAGAAUCAGAAUCAAGGAUAACACGACAAUCAUGGUCGGUGAUCUGACCUGCGGACAUGAGCUGCAAGGUGAGUUGGGGAACAUAAGAAACAGAAGGAACAUGAAAAGAAGAAGUCUCAAGAGAUCCCCGACCAGCAACAGGAAGAGAAGUACCAUCCGCAGUGAGUACAGAAAUAGGUGACGAAGGAGAAUGUAAGGAAGAAAGAAUGGAAGAGUCUGAAGUCAUAUGAAAAGAAGCCCCAGAAUCAAGGAUCCAUGGAAGAGUACCUGACUGUGAAGAGGGUGGUCUCUCAAUGCUGGAAGACACCGUAGCAGAACCAGCAGAACCAGUAGCAGCAGAAGGGGAGGAGACGCACAAGUGACGAAGCAGCCGUAGAAUCUCCUGCUGAGUACUGUCAGUAGUCGAAGACGAAGCAGGAGACGUAGUAGACGACGAAGCCGGAGAAGAAGCACCAGGAGGACGACGAUGAUGCUUCUUCUUCCUGUAGCACUGGGACUCCCAAUGGCCAGCACGAUCACAAUAAUCACAGUAAGGACGGCCUUUACCAGAUGACGGAGCACGUGAAGCAGCAGCCGAAGAAGCUGUCGUCGAAGGAGCUGAUGUAGAAGACCCCGUAGGUGAGGCCACAAGCACUGUGGGCACUGGAGGAAGCGGCAGAAGACCAGCAUCACGAAGACGAGUCUCCUCGGAGCGAACAGCAGUGAGCACCUCCACGAGUGAGACACGAGGGUGCCGUGCAAGUAGCUGAGCACGGCACUGCUCGUACUCCGAUCGAAGCCGAGUGAGGAACUCGUAGACACGCCGGAAGUCGCGCUCAGCUCGGAGAGCACGACAGCAGUCACAGGUACGACAGCCAGCAGUGCAGAGAGUGUCCAACUGGCGCCAUAUAGCAGACAUCUGAGCAUAAAAGGCAUCAACAGUCAAAUCUCCCUGCUGAAGUGUUUGCUCCUGACGAACCACUGAAAGGUAGAGGGCAUCUCCAGACGGCGCAUAGCAACGACGAAGAUGAGACCACAUCUCAAAAGCAGUAGACAAACCAACAAUCUCAGAAGCAAACGGAGAAUGCAUGCUGGCGACGAGGAUAGAAGCAGCACGAGCAUCAUCAUCAACCCACUGAGUGUACAAUGUCAGCUGAUCACGAUACAGAUCCAAGGCCUCCUGAUAUGCAGUAACAUUCUUGUCAUAGGCUGAGGAAGCAGCAGGAUCCUUCGUCGAGUCAGAAGGAGGCACAGGCUCUUGAGGCGGAGCCGCAACAACAGGGCAGCGAAGAUCACCACAGAGAACACCCCAGAGACGAAGACCGCGCAUGUGCACCCUCAUAUGCUGUAUAAAAUCCGUGUAAUUGGUGCCAUCGAAGAGCACCGAACAGCGAGGAACAGAGAUGGUGCUACCUGUAGAAGCC